This 1274-nucleotide ribosomal RNA is filed under the name metagenome. RNAcentral's name for it is "bacterial LSU rRNA". It matches the Rfam family "Bacterial large subunit ribosomal RNA", at positions 1659 to 2925 of the family's 2925-position model. The record is from RNAcentral.
ACUGGUGCGCGAGAUGAGUAUUCUAAGGCGCUUGAGAGAACUCAGGAGAAGGAACUCGGCAAAUUGACACCGUAACUUCGGAAGAAGGUGUGCCCUAUUAGUGUGAAGUGAACAACGGAGCAUGAAUGGGUUGCAAAAAAUCGGUGGCUGCGACUGUUUAUUAAAAACACAGCACUCUGCAAACACGAAAGUGGACGUAUAGGGUGUGACGCCUGCCCGGUGCUGGAAGAUUAAAUGAUGGGGUGCAAGCUCUUGAUUGAAGUCCCAGUAAACGGCGGCCGUAACUAUAACGGUCCUAAGGUAGCGAAAUUCCUUGUCGGGUAAGUUCCGACCUGCACGAAUGGCGUAACGAUGGCCACACUGUCUCCUCCUGAGACUCAGCGAAGUUGAAAUGUUUGUGAUGAUGCAAUCUCCCCGCGGAAAGACGGAAAGACCCCAUGAACCUUUACUGUAGCUUUGUAUUGGACUUUGAACAGAUCUGUGUAGUAUAGGUGGGAGGCUUUGAAGCAGGGUCGCUAGAUCUUGUGGAGCCAACGUUGAAAUACCACCCUGGUGUGUUUGAGGUUCUAACCUAGGUCCAUUAUCUGGAUCGGGGACAGUGCAUGGUAGGCAGUUUGACUGGGGCGGUCUCCUCCCAAAGCGUAACGGAGGAGUUCGAAGGUACGCUAGUUUCGGUCGGACAUCGUGACGAUAGUGCAAUGGCAUAAGCGUGCUUAACUGCGAGACUGACAAGUCGAGCAGAUGCGAAAGCAGGACAUAGUGAUCCGGUGGUUCUGUAUGGAAGGGCCAUCGCUCAACGGAUAAAAGGUACUCUGGGGAUAACAGGCUGAUACCGCCCAAGAGUUCAUAUCGACGGCGGUGUUUGGCACCUCGAUGUCGGCUCAUCUCAUCCUGGGGCUGUAGCCGGUCCCAAGGGUAUGGCUGUUCGCCAUUUAAAGAGGUACGUGAGCUGGGUUUAAAACGUCGUGAGACAGUUUGGUCCCUAUCUUCCGUGGGCGCUGCAGAUUUGAGGAAGCCUGCUCCUAGUACGAGAGGACCGGAGUGGACACACCUCUGGUGUACCGGUUGUCACGCCAGUGGCAUUGCCGAGUAGCUAAGUGUGGAAGAGAUAACCGCUGAAAGCAUCUAAGCGGGAAACUCGUUUCAAGAUGAGAUCUGCCGGGGCCUUGAGCCCCCUGAAGAGUCGUUCAAGACCAGGACGUUGAUAGGUCAGGUGUGGAAGCGCAGUAAUGCGUUAAGCUAACUGAUACUAAUUGCUCGUGCGGCUUGACCCU